GACGAACGCUGGCGGCGUGCUUAACACAUGCAAGUCGAACGAGAGGAGAAGGAAGCUUGCUUCUUUCAAAUCUAGUGGCAAACGGGUGAGUAACACGUAAACAACCUGCCUUCAGGAUGGGGACAACAGACGGAAACGACUGCUAAUACCGAAUACGUUCCUUAGGUCGCAUGACUUUAGGAAGAAAGGGUGGCCUCUACUUGUAAGCUAUCGCCUGAAGAGGGGUUUGCGUCUGAUUAGGUAGUUGGUGAGGUAACGGCCCACCAAGCCGACGAUCAGUAGCCGGUCUGAGAGGAUGAACGGCCACACUGGAACUGAGACACGGUCCAGACUCCUACGGGAGGCAGCAGUGGGGAAUCUUCCGCAAUGGACGAAAGUCUGACGGAGCAACGCCGCGUGAACGAUGACGGCCUCGG
RNAcentral lists this ribosomal RNA (416 nucleotides) under uncultured bacterium. RNAcentral describes it as "bacterial SSU rRNA". It matches the Rfam family "Bacterial small subunit ribosomal RNA", at positions 28 to 420 of the family's 1533-position model. The record is from RNAcentral.